CCUACGGUGAGCAGCAGUGGGGAAUAUUGCACAAUGGGGGAAACCCUGAUGCAGCGACGCCGCGUGAGCGAUGAAGUAUUUCGGUAUGUAAAGCUCUAUCAGCAGGGAAGACAAUGACGGUACCUGACUAAGAAGCCCCGGCUAACUACGUGCCCGCAGCCGCGGUCAUACGUAGGGGGCACGCGUUAUCCGGAUUUACUGGGUGUAAAGGGAGCGUAGACGGCGAUGCAAGCCAGAUGUGAAAGCCCGGGGCUCAACCCCGGGACGGCAUUUGGAACUGUAUAGCUGGAGUGUCGGAGAGGCAGGCGGAAUUCCUAGUGUAGCGGUGAAAUGCGUAGAUAUUAGGAGGAACACCAGUGGCGAAGGCGGCCUGCUGGACGAUGACUGACGUUGAGGCUCGAAAGCGUGGGGAGCAAACAGGAUUAGAUACCCCUGUAGUC
Molecule: ribosomal RNA, 440 nt
Filed under: uncultured bacterium
Lineage: Bacteria
Description: partial 16S ribosomal RNA
Rfam family: Bacterial small subunit ribosomal RNA
Source: RNAcentral